UACGUAGGGGGCAAGCGUUGUCCGGAUUUAUUGGGCGUAAAGAGCUCGUAGGCGGUUGGGCAAGUCACGUGUGAAAUCUCCACGCUCAACGUGGAGGCGCCACGUGAGACUGCCCUGACUCGAGUCCGGUAGGGGAGCGUGGAAUUCCCGGUGUAGCGGUGAAAUGCGCAGAGAUCGGCAGGAAGACCAAGGGGGAAGCCAGGCACCUGGGCCCGUACUGACACUCAUGGACGACCGCGUGGGGAGCGAACCGG
Molecule: ribosomal RNA, 254 nt
Filed under: uncultured bacterium
Lineage: Bacteria
Description: partial 16S ribosomal RNA
Rfam family: Bacterial small subunit ribosomal RNA
Source: RNAcentral